GGUCCGCUGGCUCAAUGGCAGAGCGUCUGACUACGACUUGAGUCUUCAACUUCAAGAGUUAUCAGGAGGUUCCAGGUUCGACCCCUGGGUGGAUCG
Non-coding RNA from Cercophora newfieldiana, 96 nucleotides. The record is from the annotation of a GenBank genome assembly. Lineage: Eukaryota; Fungi; Ascomycota; Sordariomycetes; Sordariales; Lasiosphaeriaceae.